UUUUUGGUAUUCAUGCUUGAAUUCUAAAAGAAAUUAUAAGGAUACUUUUCACAGAAAAAUGUAUCCCUCUCCCUUUUUACCCAAUUCAACAUUGUCCUGAUAUCUGUAUUUCUUUGAAUGAACCAAAGAGAUUUCCCAACCUUGAUUCCUCAUCUAAUAUGGGCUUAAAUGUUUUUAAUUAAACUGCAUGUGCUGAAGAUAGUUGCCAACACUUUGAGUAGUUUUUUGCAGCUAAAACGACAGAGAGGCAAUUGCCCUUCUCUUAUAUUUUACUGGUGGGUUUAAAAUAUUAAACACAAUAUUUCUUAUCUUCCUUCUCUUUUGUUCAUUCCCAGUUAAUCCUGACAUGGCUUAAAAGUUUGUAUUUCGUAGCUAUAGAGAUACAUCAUGAAUCUAAAAUUGCACUGACUGUAAAAGUUUGUUCACUGCCAUGACUGCAAAGCCUGGCACUCAGCUUGGGAGGCUCCCUCAGAAAGCACUGCAACAGAAGGCUCCUUUGCCCAGUCUUUUCCCAUAGUCUCAUAUGUGAGAGGAUUGAGAGGUGUUCCACAGCAGACUGAAGCAAGGCUGCAGGAUUACCUUGCUUCAGCCUUAAAAAUGCACUUUCAAAAGCCUUAAAUAGAAGCAUAACUUCUGAGCUGUACACAGCACUUGUGUUCUUUUUAAGGUGCCCCAUGUCAAAGUUUCCAGAUAUUAAAAAAAACAUUACCUGAUGUUCUUUUACACAUUUCUGUUACAGCUUUCUGAUGGGUGUUUAUCUUUCAGGAUAUGUUAUCACAAAAAAACAAAAGGAGGGAGAUCGUUGUGCCUGGGAACUGUCUGUUAUCACCUCAGCCCAAAUCUUCUCACAUCUUCGCACCUUGCGAUUGGCUCAAGGAUGAACUGGACAUUGGAAGGGGCCUAAAAAGGUGUAGUUUAACCUAAUGCUCCAGCAUGCAAAAUUCAGAUUCUGCCUACACUCCUUCUGCUAUCAAUGUCUUCCAAUAAAAGUUCCUUUUGAAAUGCUGUUCGUUUCAAGAGUUCUGCUUUCUUGAGAAGGCUGGCAAGGCAGAACCUUACAAGCACAUUUAAUUAGAAUUGAUAAAAUGCACCAAUUCUUGUUAAACCUGCUUUAACUUCUCAGAUGGAAGUAUGUCAGAUAGAAUGCAUACAAUCAGCAUUGUAUUUCAAAUACUUUACAAGCAGGUGCAAUGUAGAAAGAGCCAGGUAGUGAUAAAGACUUGGAAUUUUAGCCCUCUUUCAGGCCCAGAAACCAGCUGAUGACUUUAGGCUAGACCCUGAGGAAUGAGGAAAGAGCAACCACUUCCAAAAAGGUUGCCAAUGCAAUCACUAGCAGUCAAGGCUGACUUGACACAUAUAUAAAAUAUGCUUAAAAAUGCAGCACUAAAUUCUUUUUUGUUAAAAUCAG
This 1408-nucleotide long non-coding RNA is filed under the name Naja naja (Indian cobra). RNAcentral describes it as "lncRNA (ENSNNAG00000004850.1)". The record is from RNAcentral. Lineage: Eukaryota; Metazoa; Chordata; Lepidosauria; Squamata; Elapidae.